GGAAGGUUAGGUCAGCCAACUGUUGGAAUAGUUGGUUUAAGCGUGUAGGCGUGCCCCUUAGGCAAAUCCGGGGGGCUUAGCUGAGGCGUGACGACGAGGUCUCUUUGAGACCGAAGUGAUUGAUACCCUGCUUCCAGGAAAAGCCACUAAGCUUCAGUCUAGAAUUGACCGUACCGCAAACCGACACAGGUGGGCAGGUAGAAGAUACUAAGGCGCUUGAGAGAACCCAGGAGAAGGAACUCGGCAAAUUGAUACCGUAACUUCGGGAGAAGGUAUGCCCUGGUAGCUUGUAGGAGAACAUCCGAAGGGCGACGGGGCCGCAGAGAAUCGGUGGCUGCGACUGUUUAUUAAAAACACAGCACUCUGCAAACACGAAAGUGGACGUAUAGGGUGUGACGCCUGCCCGGUGCCGGAAGGUUAAGUGAUGGGGUGCAAGCUCUUGAUCGAAGCCCCGGUAAACGGCGGCCGUAACAAUAACGGUCCUAAGGUAGCGAAAUUCCUUGUCGGGUAAGUUCCGACCUGCACGAAUGGCGUAACGAUGGCCACACUGUCUCCUCCUGAGACUCAGCGAAGUUGAAGUGUUUGUGAAGAUGCAAUCUCCCCGCGGCUAGACGGAAAGACCCCAUGAACCUUUACUGUAGCUUUGCAUUGGACUUUGACGGGACUUGUGUAGGAUAGGUGGGAGGCGCUGAGACCAGGACGCUAGUUCUGGUGGAGCCGUCCUUGAAAUACCACCCUGGUGUCGUUGAGGUUCUAACUUAGGUCCAUCAUCUGGAUCGGGGACCGUGCAUGGUAGGCAGUUUGGCUGGGGCGGUCUCCUCCCAAAAGGUAACGGAGGAGUACGAAGGUCUUCUAGGUACGGUCGGACAUCGUACUGAUAGUGCAAUGGCAAAAGAAGGCUUGACUGCGAGACCGACAAGUCGAGCAGGUGCGAAAGCAGGUCAUAGUGAUCCGGUGGUUCUGUAUGGAAGGGCCAUCGCUCAACGGAUAAAAGGUACUCUGGGGAUAACAGGCUGAUUCCGCCAAGAGUUCACAUCGACGGCGGAGUUUGGCACCUCGAUGUCGGCUCAUCACAUCCUGGGGCUGUAGCCGGUCCCAAGGGUAUGGCUGUUCGCCAUUUAAAGUGGUACGUGAGCUGGGUUUAAAACGUCGUGAGACAGUUUGGUCCCUAUCUGCCGUGGGCGCUGGAUAUUUGAGGGGGCCUGCUCCUAGUACGAGAGGACCGGAGUGGACGGAUCUCUGGUGUACCGGUUGUGACGCCAGUCGCAUCGCCGGGUAGCUAAAUCCGGAAGAGAUAACCGCUGAAAGCAUCUAAGCGGGAAACUCGCCUCGAGAUGAGAUAUCCCUGGGAACUUGAUUCCCCUGAAGGGUCGUCGAAGACCACGACGUUGAUAGGUCGGGUGUGGAAGCG
This 1411-nucleotide ribosomal RNA is filed under the name metagenome. Its description in RNAcentral is "bacterial LSU rRNA". It matches the Rfam family "Bacterial large subunit ribosomal RNA", at positions 1476 to 2875 of the family's 2925-position model. The record is from RNAcentral.